AACUUUUGACAACGGAUCACUUGGCUCUCGCAUCGAUGAAGAACGCAGCGAAAUGCGAUAAGUAAUGUGAAUUGCAGAAUUCAGUGAAUCAUCGAAUCAUUGAACGCACCUUGCGCUCCUUGGUAUUCCGAGGAGCAUGCCUGUUUGAGUGUCAUUAAUAUAUAUCAAACUUCUCUUGUUGAGUUGUUUGGAUGUGGGGGUUUGCUGGCCUCUUAAAGGGGUUCAGCUCUCCUGAAAUGCAUUAGCAGAACAACCUGUUCAUUGGUGUGAUAACUAUCUACGCUAUUGAAUGUGAAGGGAAGUUCAGCUUUCUAACAGUCUUUGGACAAAUUCAUCAUUAAUGUGACCUCAAAUCAGGUAGGACUACCCGCUGAACUUAAGCAUAUCAAUAAGCGGAGGCU
RNAcentral lists this unclassified non-coding RNA (401 nucleotides) under uncultured Cortinarius. RNAcentral's name for it is "sequence contains ITS2". The stretch from base 1 to 154 matches the Rfam family "5.8S ribosomal RNA". The record is from RNAcentral. Lineage: Eukaryota; Fungi; Basidiomycota; Agaricomycetes; Agaricales; Cortinariaceae.